Long non-coding RNA from Rosa rugosa (rugosa rose), 420 nucleotides. RefSeq lists it as uncharacterized. The record is from RefSeq and is a predicted model, not a curated record. The transcript is spliced from 2 exons. Lineage: Eukaryota; Viridiplantae; Streptophyta; Magnoliopsida; Rosales; Rosaceae.
UACAAGAAUCACAAACUCACCUCGUCUCUCUCACUCUUCUCGCUCACCGCGUCUCUCAAAGCGCAGCGACCUCCUCCGACCUCCCAUUGCUCUGGCCUCUUCCGACCUCCCAUUGCUCCGGCCUAUUCCGACCUCCCAUUGCUCCGGCCUCCUCCGCUCUCCCAUUGCUCCGGCCACAGAAGGUAAGCAAUGGAGGCGAAAGCAAAUCAAGAACAUUACCGAUAAGAUGUUUGAUCAUUUCAAAAACAAGAUAGGAAGAGCAUAUAUUAGAUUCGAGGAUGGGCAAGUUUUAGACCUCUUUUUCGUUCUUGCCUCUCAUUUCAUUUUGAAGGCCUUUUUUGUUAUGGCUUGAAGAAUAGUUUAUCAACAUUGGAUUAAUUUGAGUUGUUGAAUAUAAUGGAUAAUUUUAUAAAUUGCACA